Molecule: transfer RNA, 66 nt
Filed under: Carpelimus fuliginosus
Lineage: Eukaryota; Metazoa; Arthropoda; Insecta; Coleoptera; Staphylinidae
Description: tRNA-Ile
Source: RNAcentral
AAUGAAGUGCCUGAUUUUAAAAGGAUUAUUUUGAUAGAAUAAAUUAUGCUAAUUUAGCCUUCAUUA